RNAcentral lists this long non-coding RNA (384 nucleotides) under Anser cygnoides (Swan goose). RNAcentral describes it as "lncRNA (ENSACDG00005014572.1)". The record is from RNAcentral. Lineage: Eukaryota; Metazoa; Chordata; Aves; Anseriformes; Anatidae.
UUUUAAAAACUAUAACAGUGACUCCUUUCUAUUUGGUUUGCCUGGUACAUGUUAGGACAUGUUGGAACCUUCACACAAAACUUAUUGAAUAGGAAGUACUGAGAAGGAGGGAAAAGAAAGGAGACAUAAAAAGAGAACCCUGCAAAAGUAAGAUACAAGUAUACUGAAAGGAAUGUCAGCUAAGAAACAGGACACCAUUGAGCAUAACUGUUGAAUUCAUACCCACAUGCAGUUAUGCUUUGUGGAGGGAGCAUGACAAUGAGCUUCUCAGAGCAGAAUAAAAAUGUGGCUGAUGCAGAACGUGACCGGACAGUUUGGCACCAGAUAUAACAUGGUAUGUAGAAGAUGAUGACAUGCUCAGAAUAAAUCUGUUUGAUAAAAUCA